GACGUAGGGCGCGAGCGUUGUCCGGAUUUAUUGGGCGUAAAGAGCUCGUAGGCGGCUUGUUGCGUCGACCGUGAAAACCCGGGGCUCAACUUCGGGCUUGCGGUCGAUACGGGCGGGCUAGAGUUCGGUAGGGGAGACUGGAAUUCCUGGUGUAGCGGUAAAAUGCGCAGAUAUCAGGAGGAACACCGGUGGCGAAGGCGGGUCUCUGGGCCGAUACUGACGCUGAGGAGCGAAAGCGUGGGGAGCGAACAGG
Molecule: ribosomal RNA, 253 nt
Filed under: uncultured bacterium
Lineage: Bacteria
Description: partial 16S ribosomal RNA
Rfam family: Bacterial small subunit ribosomal RNA
Source: RNAcentral